Molecule: long non-coding RNA, 470 nt
Filed under: Elaeis guineensis (African oil palm)
Lineage: Eukaryota; Viridiplantae; Streptophyta; Magnoliopsida; Arecales; Arecaceae
Description: long non-coding RNA (EGUI_LNC003018)
Source: RNAcentral
GAAAUGGCACCCAUGGAACCUGGGCAAAAGCCAACAUGUGCCAACAUGUCAAAGGGGAAUACUAUGCAAGGCCACACAUGAAUGUUAUGUUAUGAAACAUCAGAUCAUGGACCGGUUAUAUAUGCAUUGACCAGACGUGAUUGGAUGAAUAAGUUGUAAAAGAAUAUCUUAACAGUGAGAACAGCUUAUCAGGUUAAAAGGAGAGUUUUCUCCUGAUUAGGAAAACUGCGCAGCUCCCGAAAACUAAAAUCACCUCUUAUGAGGAAUUUGUUAUGUGAAAAACUAAGAGAUCACAGUGCUCGACCACCUCUCUCAACACAUUGUGGCUUACUUUUUUUUUUUUUAUCAUCUCCUUCGAGCGAAGACAACUGCCAAUCAGAAGUUCCACUCAAAAACAAAACUACCGAUCAUAACUUUCAUAAACUAGCUGGUGAUAGUGAAUUUAGCAAUGGACCCAUACAGACCAUACC